CCCUUUCCAUCCAUUCCCUGAAGACGUCAAGUCGAGCUCCCCUUCUCUCCGUUCUCUUUCAUCUCCACCGAUGAUGACCAGUCCACUCUCCAAGUCACCACAAGCGUUCUCCUCACCGGUGACAUUUCCGUCUUCCUCUUCUUCUCCUCCCGUCUCCGAGCAAAGUGCCAAAGAACUGGUUUGAUUUCUGAUUAAUGGUUCGCAUUAGUUUGUUUAUUUUUAUAUCUAGGGUUUAGUUUGUGAUAUGUGAAGAGUAUUUGGAGCUUAUGUGUCGGUAUUAAUGAUUACUGAAUUAGGAAUAUUGUAUGUUUGAUAGAAUAUGAGAUCUGUUCGCUUUUUGCCCUGUCACGAACACCUCUCUCGUAGGCAUUGAUAAACAGAACUAUAUUCAUUUGUUUCUAGCAUAGUUAGCUUGUUUUCGUGAUUAACAUUGAAUUAGAUCUUUAAAUGUUUACGUUUAAUCUAUUAUUGAUGAUGGUAUUGAUUGUUUUAUUUUCCUCAUUCAUGUCUGCAGAAGUGAAGUUUAAACUAUAAAGAAGGAAAACCUAACAAAAAAUGAGCUAUGUCUUUAGAUUCAGUCAUGUUAUCAUUCUUGUUUACAGAUUUGUUAAGCAGUUUUGUUUGAGCUUUUAAUGGUCAUUUUUUGUUGUGAACAAGAGUUUGUACAAUUCCAUACUUGAAGAUCUUUGUAAUUGUGUACAAUUUAACAAAUCAACACUUCCACCAGAUUGUUUCUACACUUUGUUUACACCCAUAACAGUUAUUUAUGUGCCCUCUUGCAAAAUUUCAUUUUGCACUAAUAUUUUAGGUCUGCGUUGAGCUCAUAAGUGUUGGAUCUUUGUCUGCUUGCUUUAGAUUAGAUGGUUCAUCAAUAUCUCAUCAUGUAUCGCUGGUUGCUGGUGGAUUCUCUUAUUCAUCACUCAAGAAUUGGGAUAUUGCAAAACUUGGGUGUAUGGCAGUUGUAAGUUGUUUUGAACCUGUUCGGGGCUGCUAUGAUAUGAAGGUUGCAAGCUUUUGAUUUGGGUUGUUUCGGUGGAGGAAUCGACCCGUCAUCGAUGGUAAACGAUUUGUUUUCGUUAUGUUUAAUGUUUACCAAGAUUGUAAGUGAUUUUGGUAUCUAUUAUUGAAGGUAAAUAAGUUAAGGGGCUGCUGCGUUUGGUUCCUGUUUACUGCAAGAUAAAGGGUUUAAACUACUUGUUUUGGUGGAAAAUUGGACCUACAAUCUUCGGUAAGAAGUUCUAGUUUGUUAAGUUUCAUGUUAAUUUCAGUUUUAAAGGUUCUAAUGAUGUUUUUGGUGGCUGUAUGUCAUGUUUGGUUUUAAUGAGUUUAUUAACUCACUAAUUAAUAAACAUUAAAGGUUCUAAUGAUGUUUUGGGGCCCUUUUUUCUUAAGAAAAUUGUUAUAAAAGAGAAUGCCAAACUUCGUGACCUAUCUAACAGAAAAAAGAUAACACUAGAACCAAUUAAAAUCUUUUUAUAUGAAAAAAGCCAUUUACAUACAAAUCUGGAAAAGUUGUAAAGUCGAGCCAGAUUGAUUUUUAUUGGGCUGAGCUUAAGUUUAUUUCAGCUCAACUUUAUUUUCAAGCUGACCCAUGUGAGCUCGGUAUGAAGUUCGAGUUGAGCUUGAGCUUGGCUCAGCUCGGCUCGGCUUGUUAACAACUUUUAAGUGUUCCCCACUGCAUUACGCGGAGACCACUUUAUAUGCUAAAAUGAGUUUAUAUUUUGUAGGAUUGGUAAACUAAUAGAAAAUGAUUUCCGUGAUGCAAAUUGUUGUUAUUGCAGCAUCGAGUUUCUUACUAGUGUAACUCAUUUACUUUGAUUAUCGCAUAAGGCAUGUAUAUAUUGGUCGAUUGUAGUUUAGUCGGACUUGUAAGUCAUGGAUUUGGAUCUUCAUGUCUUAUAUGCAUAUGUAGGGUAGAUUUGGAACAUGUCUUAUGUGUAUGCAUGUGCCCUCGUGUAUACAUUUUAAGCUUCAUUUUAUUAACAUGACGUUUUAUUUUGUUAGGCAAUUUCUACGGUUUCGGUUGCAAGUAUGAAUUGAAGACGUCGGUUUGGGUUGCAUGUAUGAAGGCAUCGGUUCGGGAAGUUAUUGUAUAUCACUUUCAUCUUUAGAGAUAUAUGUAUUUGUGUUACUUUGAAACUUUUGUAAUUGUGUCACUUUGAAACCUUUGUAAUUUAUAUUCUUGGGGUUAUUUUAAAUUGGUUUUUAUU
RNAcentral lists this long non-coding RNA (2210 nucleotides) under Helianthus annuus (common sunflower). RNAcentral describes it as "hypothetical non coding rna". Lineage: Eukaryota; Viridiplantae; Streptophyta; Magnoliopsida; Asterales; Asteraceae. The record is from RNAcentral.